AGGAACAGUUUAUCUUUUUAACCAGAUCUCUUUUUCUCACUGAUUUCACAGGCUUGAAAGCAGAAAUGCAGCCAGAAGAGAUGUGAUGUUUUAGCGUGUUAGAAAAUCAGCCACGUCUCGAUGUGAGAGACGUUUAAACCCUGAUCCUCUGGGCGCUGCUGCUCCCCGGCCAGGAUUAGCUCCUCUGUUCGCUCCGGCUGCUGACGAAGACCAACAGGAAACCAGGAUGAAGAUCACCGCCCCGCUGGAGAACACGACUCUGAAACCGAAUGAAGACAGAGAGUCUGCAGAGCCUGCAGCUGAACCUUGAGACGGAAACUGUUUCUAAAUGAGCAGCUUCAGAACCAUGAAGCAGCUUCAGUUUGGAUCAGAGCAGACAGAGGUCAAAGGUCGUUCUUCUGCAGUGAAACAAAGCCAGAAAUGUUCUGGCACACAACAACACGUCUGUCCUGCUCUGGACUUUCCUCUGCAUGUUCUGAUCGAGAGUCAGCCGGAUCAGAACAUGAAGGCGAUCCGUGUCUGAAUAUCUUACCAACGUCUGGACUUUCUGUUCAGAAGGUUCUGGAAUAAACACUAACCUGCAUCUGUAAACAACAAAUAAAAAUACAAU
Molecule: long non-coding RNA, 610 nt
Organism: Poecilia latipinna (sailfin molly)
Lineage: Eukaryota; Metazoa; Chordata; Actinopteri; Cyprinodontiformes; Poeciliidae
Exons: 2
Source: RefSeq, a predicted model, not a curated record